AUUCCAUCCGCAUCGGGACCUCCCCACCCGUCAAACAAAAAAAAAAAUUCCUCCUCGAUCCUUCUUUCGCUGGGCGCAACAAUCAUGCCGACAGAUCCGUGGCUGCUCCACCUCAGGUUCCCCCCAUCCUUCUUUCUCUCGGGCGACAGAUCCGUUCAUGGCGGCGGAUCCGCAGCGUCCACGGCCGCUCCACCUCGGGCAGUGCGGAUCACGGCCGGCAACCCGAUGGAGGCGUAGCGGCUACCGGCGCAGUCUGACUCUCUGCCAUGCGCUCCCUCCAUGUCUCCUCCUGCGCCUCCGGUGGCCAGACGCCUCUUCCACUCCGGCCGAUAUGUUUGAAGAAGGGGCUAGAGACAAACUGUCCAAUCUGUUGUGACUUCCUAUUCACAUCAAGCAAGGAAGUUAGAGCUGUUCUUUCUGGUCACUCCAUGCAUUCAACUUGCUUGCAGGUAUUAGCAAGUAAAAUAAUAAUUUGUUUUUUCUGAUAAUAUAUAUCUGGCUACUGGCUGUAAAAAAUGGUUCUGACAAAUGUAAGUCCCAGGCAUACACUUUCAGUCACUACACUUGCACUAUCUACGGCAAAUCCUUCUGGGAUAUGGCGGUAAGCUGCAUUAGUUUUUACGGCAUUGCAAAUCUUUGCAUUUAUGGUACUGAAGUUAAUCUUCAUCUUGAGUCCCAUGAUUUGUUUUCCAUAUCUUAGUGAAAACUACUAUUUCUCCUAUUUUGCUCUUCAUCUCGAGGGCAUUUCACUAGCUGAUAAGUGAUGUUUCAUAAAGCAUGAAACUGACACAUUUUUCGGUUCUUUGAUACCGGAAGCCUGUACCUCCACCAAUCAAAUGUUUUAUUAAUGCAGUUGUAUUGUAUGAUAAUUCUCCACGGACAAUACAAUUCUGAUUCCUGACGCCUGAGUGAGAUUUUACUUGUGGUCUUGUUAUUUAAACUCAUUCCUAAGAUGCAACAUGAAGACUGUUUUGGUAUUUGGGGCAUGCACGAUUGGACAUUUUGCUCGAGUCAUAUAAUCAUAUUGAGUGACUGAAUGUAAUGCACAUAAACUUCAGUGGUAUAUUGAAAAUGGUUUAUCCUUUUCUUCUCGAAACAGAUAAAUGUUGGAUCAGCUGACCCUGUCAUUAUCUCAUUCCACCCCAACACCACGGUAUAGCUUUUCUUCUUUGAUCAUCGCUGAUAUUCCAAACUGCAGGGGCACCCUCAUCAUUGGCGGAUUUUAUAUUUCUCAGGUCAGACGGUGUGCAGCCACACCUGGUCACCAUCGAGUUUCAGGUAACCACGACAAGUCAACGAUCUUCCAUUGCCUUCCGCUCAAUUUUGUUUGGAUGGUGCGUGAUUCCUUUCAUCGAGUCUUCAAUAAACCAAAGAGUUACCAGAGUAGUUAAUUAGGAGCCUAAUCAUGUGCAAACUAUUGUGCAUCAAGUCUUCAAUAAAAACAGAGCAGUUUCUACAUGCAAGACGUAUCAAAAUAGUAUGCUAAUACUUGAAUACCAUGUGACUAGAUCGAUUUCCAAGCAGACUCGAUCGAAUCUAAUUGUAUAUGGUGUGUUUGUUGCGUCAAGUAGUGACGGAGAGCAAGCGAGGCGAGAGAGCGAGUCACAGCGCGCUUUUACCUGUUAUUAUAUAACGCACAUUGAUUAGUUCGGUUGUAUCUGGGCAUGCUUUUAGACUUAAAGUCGAUCUUGAUUUCCUCCUGCCACCUGUAUGAGGGCAUCCAUUCGAAACACAUAUCUAAUCUUCUAUGUGUGGGAUCCUUUUUCUGUUCUGAAUUUGUUGUUGGGGCGAGCUUGUUACUCUCUACAUGGAUUUCAAGCUGGAUGAGAGCUACACGCCGAGCAAGAUCUCCAUCUGGACCGGUGACAGCUUCCAGAAUCUCAAGGCCCAGAAAUUAGGAUUCAAGAUUUGCCUCAUUGAAAACCGGUCAGGAGUUCAUGUUCACAAUCAAGCAGUGACCCCUUCUACUACUUGAGGGAUUCAGCAAAGACCAUCAACGGUACAGUCAAAGUUGAACAUGAAAACAAGGCGCUCUGCCAGUGUGCGUGCAUGAUCCAAUAGCAUGUGUUUAAUAGUAGCCACUAUGAUGUGAAAUACUAGCAGCUUCCUCCAUUUAUGCCAGUAUUUGAUAUACUUACCAAAGUUUAAGGGCGCCAAUCUUAAGAAGACAUCCCGGUUUGUGAGAAAAUUUCUUACGCGUAUUAGACAAAAGAUGUAUCUAAUUUUCCUUAGGUUGCAUUGCAACACAUCAGUUUCUGCUAUUGGUUCUUUUACCAUAAAAUUUGUAAGGUCCCUUAUGUUUGAUUUAUUGUAUAAAUCAUUUGAGACAUGCCCUGCAUGCAUGAUUACUCACUAUAUUUAUGUUCAUCUGAUAUUAUGUUCA
RNA transcript from Triticum aestivum (bread wheat), 2383 nucleotides. It is a transcript of the gene named zinc finger protein BRUTUS, with no coding region annotated. The record is from RefSeq and is a predicted model, not a curated record. NCBI's taxonomy places the organism in Eukaryota, Viridiplantae, Streptophyta, Magnoliopsida, Poales, Poaceae. The transcript is spliced from 4 exons.